Molecule: long non-coding RNA, 781 nt
Organism: Suricata suricatta (meerkat)
Lineage: Eukaryota; Metazoa; Chordata; Mammalia; Carnivora; Herpestidae
Exons: 2
Source: RefSeq, a predicted model, not a curated record
GUCUCAGUGACUCUGGGAAGUAAGCAAUCAACCCCUCUAACAAGAGGUCUUUUCCAGAUCAGACCCUCUCCCAAACCUUAACCAGGUCUAUUGGCUGAAGGGCAAAUUCAUCAUGUGACGCCAGCAGGUGGAGCACAAGUCCUCACCAAAAUGCAGAAAAGUCCAGACUCCCGAAGACCUCCUGGGAAAACAGCACAGUGCAAUGAAGAGGCUGGGACUUCAAAGCCGAAGACUCAAGUCACAGCUCUGAGAUUACAUGACACUGUACAAUUCCUCUGGUCUCUCUGGACUGGGUCUCCUCCACGGUGUCUGCCAACCUUCCUGAACUCUUCAACUGCUCCCCCAUUUGCUUUACUGAACUUUCCAUUUUUCCAACCAAACAAUCUUGUUCCCAUCUUAGAGCCUUUGCACCGACUGGGAACACUUUCUUCCAGAUCUGCACACGGUUGGCUCCUCUUUCUCAUUCAGGCUUCAGCUUAAACAUCAGCAUCUCAGAGUAAUUCCCUGACCAUCCUGUCCCACUCGGCUUCCUGCUCCGCACACCCGCCCUAUCUUCUGCACACUCUGGCCCACUAACAUGUUUUUACUUUCCUCGUAGCACUUACCACUACUAAAAAUUCUUGAUUUGUGUCCUCCAACUGAAAGCUAAACUCCAGUAGAGAGUUUAAUCUUGAUCUUGAUCUUGAUCAAGUGCCUAGGACUGUGCCUGGCGCCUUGAGUGAGGGACACAAGAAUUACAUGUUUGCACUGAAUGAAUAAAGGGCUGAUACUUUCUUCCCCA